This 1218-nucleotide ribosomal RNA is filed under the name metagenome. Its description in RNAcentral is "bacterial LSU rRNA". It matches the Rfam family "Bacterial large subunit ribosomal RNA", at positions 1580 to 2808 of the family's 2925-position model. The record is from RNAcentral.
AGGCGUUGAAGCAGUGUACGUCGGACUUCCAAGAAAAGCUCGCAAUGUCAUAAAUAGAAAAUGCCUGUACCAUAACCGACACAGGUGGGUAGGUAGAGUAUACUAAGGGGCGCGAGAUAACUCUCUCUAAGGAACUCGGCAAAAUGACUCCGUAACUUCGGGAGAAGGAGUGCCUUAUUUAUAAGGUUGCAAUAACAAGAUCCAAGCAACUGUUAUCAAAAACACAGGUCUCCGCUAAGUCGUAAGACGAUGUAUGGGGGCUGACGCCUGCCCAGUGCCAGAAGGUUAAAGAAGUUGGUUAGUGUAUGCGAAGCUGAUGACUGAAGCCCUGGUGAACGGCGGCCGUAACGAUAACGGUCCUAAGGUAGCGAAAUUCCUUGUCGGGUAAGUUCCGACCCGCACGAAAGGCGUAAUGAUUUGGAUACUGUCUCGGAGAGAGGCUCGGUGAAAUAGACUUGUCUGUGAAGAUGCGGACUACCUGCACCAGGACAGAAAGACCCUAUGAAGCUUUACUGUAACUUGAAAUUGGAAUUGGACUUUGCUUGCGCAGUAUAGGUGGGAAGCGUUGAAGAUAUUCUUGCGGGAGUAUUGGAGCUAUCAGUGAGAUACCACUCUUGUAAUGUUAGAUUUCUAACUUUGAACCAUAAUCUGGUCAAAGAACAGUUUCAGGUGGGCAGUUUGACUGGGGCGGUCGCCUCCCAAAUGGUAACGGAGGCGUACAAAGGUUUCCUCUGAACGGAUAGAAAUCGUAUCUAGAGUGUAAGGGCAUAAGGAAGCUUGACUGUGAGACCUACAAGUCGAGCAGGGACGAAAGUCGGUCUUAGUGAUCUGACGGUACUGAGUGGAAAGGCCGUCACUCAACGGAUAAAAGUUACUCUAAGGAUAACAGGCUGAUCUCCCCCAAGAGUUCACAUCGACGGGGAGGUUUGGCACCUCGAUGUCGGCUCAUCGCAUCCUGGGGCGGUAGUACGUCCCAAGGGUUGGGCUGUUCGCCCAUGAAAGCGGUACGCGAGCUGGGUUCAGAACGUCGUGAGACAGUUCGGUCCAUAUCCGGUGUAGGCGUUAGAAUAUUGAGAGGAGCCUUCUUUAGUACGAGAGGACCGAGAAGGACACACCGCUGGUGUACCAGUUAUCGUGCCAACGGUAAACGCUGGGUAGCUAUGUGUGGAGUGGAUAACCGCUGAAAGCAUCUAAGUGGGAAGCCCACCUCAAGAUGAG